CCUACGGGAGGCAGCAGUGAGGAAAGUGGUCAAGGGGCGGAAGCCCGAACCAGUCAAGUAGUGUGAGGGAGGAAGGUCCUACGGGUCGUAAACCGCUUUUGCACGGGGAUAACACCCUCCACGUGUGGAGGUCUGCAGGUACCGUGCGAAUAAGGGCCGGCUAAUUCCGUGCCAGCAGCCGCGGUAAUACGGAAGGCCCGAGCGUUAGCCGGAUUCAUUGGGCUUAAAGGGAGCGUAGGCGGGCGUUCAAGUCAGCUGUAAGAUCGCGCGGCUCAACCGCGCCCCGCAGUUGAAACUGGACGCCUUGAGUUCACGACAGGCAGGCGGAGUUCGGGGUGGAGCGGUGAAGUGCAUAGAUAUCGCGGGGAACCGCGUGUGCGGGGGCAGCCUGCCGGGGUGCGACUGACGCUGGGGCUCGAGGGUGCGGGUAUCAAACAGGGUUAGAUACCCCAAGUC
RNAcentral lists this ribosomal RNA (456 nucleotides) under uncultured bacterium. RNAcentral describes it as "partial 16S ribosomal RNA". It matches the Rfam family "Bacterial small subunit ribosomal RNA", at positions 338 to 795 of the family's 1533-position model. The record is from RNAcentral.